GGUUUCGUAGCUCAAUUGGUCAGAGCGACCGACUCAUAAUCGGUAGGUUCAGGGUUCAAUCCCCUACGAAACCA
This 74-nucleotide transfer RNA is filed under the name Richelia sp. RM2_1_2. RNAcentral describes it as "tRNA-Met". It matches the Rfam family "tRNA". From Rfam's summary of the family: Transfer RNA (tRNA) molecules are approximately 80 nucleotides in length. Their secondary structure includes four short double-helical elements and three loops (D, anti-codon, and T loops). Lineage: Bacteria; Bacillati; Cyanobacteriota; Cyanophyceae; Nostocales; Nostocaceae. The record is from RNAcentral.